RNAcentral lists this long non-coding RNA (12334 nucleotides) under Physcomitrium patens. Its description in RNAcentral is "long non-coding RNA (PPAT_LNC010470)". The record is from RNAcentral. Lineage: Eukaryota; Viridiplantae; Streptophyta; Bryopsida; Funariales; Funariaceae.
UACAAGGAGAGGGCUGGUCCUAAGAGAUAUCCCAUAUGGGUUGUAACACAUGGUACCUUGGUACUAGUAUAUAAGAAAAGGGUUGGCAUGGAAAGAAUCAAUCUCAUACCACAUUAUAUUUGUGAAGUGCAACCUUGCUGGUCCUAACUUGCUUGUGUGGAGUUUGGUUUCUAUGUUUCAAUAGUAUUUGAGAGUUUUAUUAGAAAUUGAGUCAUUUUGAGUGAGGUGAUGUGAGGGAGAUGUUUGAAAGCCAUAGAAUUACAGGACAUAGCAUUUUCCACCAUUUAGACGUGAUUUGGACACAAAGUAUGCAAAAAGUUGCAAAACAGCGAAUUCUGAGUUUGUAGUUCAGCAAUCUUUGAGUAGUCAUAUCUUUUGCAUUACAACUCCAAAUCAAGAGAUUUUUGGACCUACUUGUAGCUUGAGAUGGCAUCUUUUGAGAGUGAUAGCUUAAGAAUGGUAGAAAAGUUUAGAGGUGACAACUUUCACCACUGGAAGGCCAAAAUGGAGCUACUUUUGGCGUCAUUGGAUCUUUGGGAGAUAGUAUGUGAGGAGGAAGAGGCACCUGGAUUAGAGGCAAGCAUGAAGGAGCAAAAGGACUUCAAAAGACGAGAGAAGAAGGCUUUUGGCAUAAUUGCCACCAACUUAGAUGAAACCAACUUUGCUCAUGUCAUUUCUUGCAAAGGAGCAGCAGAUGCAUGGAAGACUCUUUGCAAUGUCUAUGAGAGUAGGAAUCUUUCCAAUGUGCUAUGGUCAAGGCAAAAGUUCUUCACCGUGAAGAUGGAAGAAGGUGAAGAUCUCAUGGCUCAUGUAAAUAAGGUUAAAGCACUUGCAAAUCAACUUGCUGUUGUUGACAAGCCUUUACUUGAAGAAGAUGUUGUGAUGACAUUGCUCUCAAGCCUUCCGAACUCCUAUUCCUCCCUCAUUGUGGCAUUGGAGUCCAUUUCAAGGAAAGACCUCACUUUGGACUAUGUCACGGCAAGACUAGCCCAUGAAGUGACCAAAAGAAAGCAAAAGGAGUCUAUUGGGGAGCAAUCAGCACUAUUUACAAGACCAAGUAAGGCAAGUGCCCCUUUUCAACGUUAUCCUCCUAAAACUUGUUACAUUUGUGGAAAACCAGGCCAUUUUGCUAGAAAUUGUUUCAAGGCAAAGAGAGGAGAAAGAAAGAAUGCCAACAAUGCUUUUCAUGACCAUGGAGGUGAAGACUUUGCAUUCAUGGCAAAACAAACUCCUUCCAUGUUUGAUAUGAGCAAAUGGAUUGUGGAUUCUGGAUGUACUAAACACAUGACUCCAUACAAGUGUUCAUUUAACACUUAUCAACCUAUUCAAGCAACCAAGGUUUGGUUAGGUGAUAAUUGUAUAUUACAAGCCAUUGGAAUAGGCACCAUUAUAGUGGAGGUGGUGGUGAAGGGCAUAAGCAAGAGAAUCACUCUCAAGGAUGUGUUGCAUGUGCCAAAGAUGAAGAAGAACCUCCUUUCGGUGAGUAAACUUAUAACUCAUGGGUACAAAGUGCAAUUUAACAUGAAUGGAUGUUUUGUGAGAACCAUGGAAGGCAAAGAAGUAGCAAAAGGGACUAGGAAUGGCAAUCUCUAUAUUAUCAAUUGCAAGAGGAUCAAUGGAGUGGAGGUUGCUGCCUUUGCUGAAUUUCCAUCAAAUGAAGAUAAGGUGGGCAAUUGGCAUCAAAGACUUGGGCAUUUGAAUGCCCAAAGCAUGAAGGGGCUUCAAUCCAAGGUAAAUGGCAUAGACCUUGGCCAUUCUACCAUGAAUCUUGCUUGUGAGGGAUGCAUUCAAGGCAAACAACAUAGGACACCAUUUCCUAGAGGAGUUGCAACAAGAGCAAACCAAUUGCUAGAGCUUGUGCAUUCGGAUGUUUGUGGAUCCAUGAGGACACCAUCUAUGAGUGGUAGUGAAAAGUGGGAGAUGUGUCCAAGUGGGAGUAGUGGUGUGUUUGUGGACACAUCUUCAAUUCUAGCAAACAAACAAGAAGAAGAAGAAGAGCAUUCUCAAAGUGAAGAAGAAGAGGAAGUUGCCAUGAUAGAAGAGCCCAAUACUAUGAAUACUUCAAUUCCAGCAAGAUACAACAAGGACAAUGAAGAGAAUGAAGAUGAAGAAUACCAACAAAUGAGUAAGAGAAAGCACUCCAUGAGUCAUACAAGGCAGCAAGAGGUGCAAGAAGGCUCAUCUUCUUUGCAUGAAAGAAGAUAUCCAACACCUGAAAGAAGACCACAAGGUGAAUGGUGAAAGAACCACAUCUUUCCACAACAAUUGGAUGUAAGUGGGUGCUUAGAACUAAGAGAGAUCCAAACGAUUGAAGGUCAACAUUGGGCUAAGUAUUCUUUGUUUGAGUGGGAGCCAUAUCUUUGAAUAGCAAUACACAACCAAACAUUGCAAGGUCCACAAUAGGGGCGGAGUAUUUGGCAGCAAGUUAUGAAGCAAUGGAGGUAUUUUGGUUGAGGUUGUUAUUGGAAGAUAUUGGACUUGUGCAAUUUGAAGCUACUCCAUUGAGGUGUGACAAUCAAGGAUGUCUUGCUUUAGCAAAGAAUCCAAAGCAUCUUGGAAGAACUAAGUACAUUGAUAUUCAGCAUCAUUUCAUAAGAGAGAAGAUAGAGAUGGAGGUUAUUGAUAUGAUGUAUUGUGAAACCAAAGAAAUGUUUGCUGAUUUGUCGACAAAAGCCUUUGUUAGAGAAGGACACAACAAGUUGAGUACGGCAUUAGGAUUGAUAGCUAAUUGACCAAUAGCAAAGUGGGAGUGUUGAGAAAAGAACACUUUAAGUAGUUGCUAAUGGUUAAUAGAGUACAAGUGUUGUUAAGGACAUCCCAUAAGGUAGGGUGCUGGUCUAUAGUGCAUUAGAGUACAAGGCGAGGGCUGGUCCUAGGAGAUAUCCCAUAUGGAUUGUAGCACUUGGUACCUUGGUACUAGUAUAUAAGGAAAGGAUUGGCAUGGGAAGAAUUAUCUCAUACCACACUCUAUUUGUUAUAGUGCAACCUUGCUGGUCCUAACUUACUUGUGUGGAGUAUACUUUCUAUGUUUCAAUACUUUGGCUCAAUGUGAUGGUCUUUGACACUCUAUUUCUUCUGAAUUCCACACCCAAACAAGAGUGGAGCUCUCCCAAAUUACUCAUCUCAAAACACUUUCUCAUCAAAACACUCAAGAACAAUGAAGAAACUUCACCAACUCAAAAGACACUAUCAAGGUCUUUCUGCAAAGUCUUAACCUCACAAAGCAAGGAGAUAAGAACCCACAAAGCAAUGUUAGAGAUGUACAAGCGUAAUACCAAUAGCCUUUUUAUAUCAACAAACCUAACAUCAACAAAUACCAUAAGAUCUAAUCCACACAAAAGAAACAAAGAGAAAAUGACUUCAAAUUACUUGAAUAAUACAACAAAGAGUGUGUGGGCCCAUAACCUAUUGAAAAAAAGAACACUAUAAGCAUAAUACAAGUAAGUAGAAAUCAGCAAGGUUGCACAUAAGAGAAGUGUGGAAUGAGAUGGUUCUCUCUUCCAACUCUCGUUACUUAUAGGUGGUGGUUGCUGCCCUAAAAGGACUUCUUCCACCAUUUGACUUUUACAGAUAUGCUCCUUAGAUCCUUUGGCUCAUACCACGAGGGUAUCCAAGGAUCCUAGGAUCCUAGGGCGUCUUACAUACCACGAGGGUAUCCUAUGCCAUAUACUAAUUAUUUUUACCUAGUUCUUUGGAUAUUUCCUUGGACACACUUUAUCCUCUUGACUUUGACUCUUUGUCCUUGACCGCAUCCUAUGUCCAUAGGAUGCUUUUUCUAUAUGCCAAGAGUCAAGCCUUUGACCAUUAGCAACUUACCUAAGGUAAUUGUUGAGAAAAGAACUCUUUAAGUAGUUGCUAAUGGUCAAUAGAGUACAAGUGUUGUUAAGGAUAUCCCAUAAGGUAGGGUGCUGGUCUAUAGUGCAUUAGAGUACAAGGGGAGGGCUGGUCCUAGGAGAUAUCCCAUAUGGAUUGUAGCACUUGGUACCUUGGUACUAGUAUAUAAGGAAAGGGUUGGCAUGGGAAGAAUUAUCUCAUACCAGACUCUAUUUGUUAUAGUGCAACCUUGCUGGUCCUAACUUACUUGUGUGGAGUAUGUUUUCUUUGUUUCAAUAGGUUAUGGGCCCACAUUCUCUUACCAAGUAAGUUGUUCUUGCAUUUUAUUUUCUUUGUUGCUUGUUUGGUGGUUGAGAUCUUAUGGUAUAGUAUUACUAGUGUUUUGUUGAAGUCAUUACUCCUGGAUUUGUGAGUGUAUGAGGUUAGUGCAAGACCUUGAUAGUGUCUUUGCUGAAGUAACACUAGUAUUUGAGAGUUUUAUGAGAAAUUGAGUCAUUUUGAGUGAGGUGAUGUGAGGGAGAUGUUUGAAAGCCAUAGAAUUACAUGACAUAGCAUUUUCCACUAUUUAGACGUGAUUUGGACUCAAAGUAUGCAAAAAGUUGCAAAACAGCGAAUUCUGAGUUUGUAGUUCAGCAAUCUUUGAGUAGUCAUAUCUUUUGCAUUACAACUCCAAAUCAAGAGAUUUUUGAACCUACUUGUAGCUUGAGAUGGCAUCUUUUGAGAGUGAUAGCUUAAGAAUGGUAGAAAAGUUUAGAGGUGACAACUUUCACCACUGGAAGGCCAAAAUGGAGCUACUUUUGGCGUCAUUGGAUCUUUGGGAGAUUGUAUGUGAGGAGGAAGAGGCACCUGGGGUAGAGGCAAGCAUCAAGGAGCAAAAGGACUUCAAAAGACGAGAAAAGAAGGCUUUUGGCAUAAUUGCCACCAACUUAGAUGAAACCAACUUUGCUCAUGUCAUUUCUUGCAAAGGAGCAGCAGAUGCAUGGAAGACUCUUUGCAAUGUCUAUGAAAGUAGGAAUCUUUCCAAUGUGCUAUGGUCAAGGCAAAAGUUCUUCACCGUGAAGAUGGAAGAAGGAGAAGAUCUCAUCGCUCAUGUAAAUAAGGUAAAAGCACUUGCAAACCAACUUGCUGUUGUUGACAAGCCUUUACUUGAAGAAGAUGUUGUGAUGACAUUGCUCUCAAGCCUUCCGGACUCCUAUUCCUCCCUCAUUGUGGCAUUGGAGUCCAUUUCAAGGAAAGACCUCACUUUGGACUAUGUCACGGCAAGACUAGCCCAUGAAGUGACCAAAAGAAAGCAAAAGGAGUCUAUUAGGGAGCAAUCAGCACUAUUUACAAGACCAAGUAAGGCAAGUGCCCCUUUUCAACGUUAUCCUCCUAAAACUUGUUACAUUUGUGGAAAACCAGGCCAUUUUGCUAGAAAUUGUUUCAAGGCAAAGAGAGGAGAAAGAGAGAAUGCCAACAAUGCUUUUCAUGACCAUGGAGGUGAAGACUUUGCAUUCAUGGUAAAACAAACUCCUUCCAUGUUUGAUAUGAGCAAAUGGAUAGUGGAUUCCGGAUGUACCAAACACAUGACUCCAUACAAGUGUUCAUUUAACACUUAUCAACCAAUUCAAGCAACCAACGUUUGGUUAGGUGAUAAUUGUAUGGUACAAGCCAUUGGAAUAGGCACCAUUGUAGUGGAGGUGGUAGUGAAGGGCAUAAGCAAGAGAAUCACUUUCAAGGAUGUGUUGCAUGUGCCAAAGAUGAAGAAGAACCUCCUUUCUGUGAGUAAACUUAUAACUCAUGGGUACAAAGUGCAAUUUAACAUGAACGGAUGUUUUGUGAGAACCAUGGAAGGCAAAGAAGUAGCAAAAGGGACUAGGAAUGGCAAUCUCUAUAUUAUCAAUUGCAAGAGGAUCAAUGGAGUAGAGGUUGCUGCCUUUGCUGAAUUUCCAUCAAAUGAAGAGAAGAUGGGCAUUUGGCAUCAAAGACUUGGGCAUUUGAAUGCCAAAAGCAUGAAGGGGCUCCAAUCCGAGGUAAAUGGCAUAGACCUUGGCCAUUCUACCAUGAAUCUUGCUUGUGAGGGAUGCAUUCAAGGCAAACAACAUAGGACACCAUUUCCUAGAGGAGUUGCAACAAGAGCAAAUCAAUUGCUGGAGCUUGUGCAUUCGGAUGUUUGUGGAUCCAUGAGGACACCAUCUAUGAGUGGUAGUGAAAAGUGGGAGAUGUGUCCAAGUGGGAGUAGUGGUGUGUUUGUGGACACAUCUUCAAUUCCAGCAAACAAACAAGAAGAUGAAGAAGUGUAUUCUCAAAGUGAAGAAGGAGAGGAAGUUGCCAUGAUAGAAGAGCCCAAUACUAUGAAGACUUCAAUUCCAGCAAGAUACAACAAGGACAAUGAAGAGAAUGAAGAUGAAGAAUACCAACAAAUGAGUAAGAGAAAGCACUCCAUGAGUCAUACAAGGCAGCAAGAGGUGCAAGAAGGCUCAUCUUCUUUGCAUGAAAGAAGAUAUCCAACACGUGAGAGAAGACCACAAGGUGAAUGGUGAAAGAACCACAUCUUUCCACAACAAUUGGAUGUAAGUGGGUGCUUAGAACCAAGAGAGAUGCAAACGAUUGAAGGUCAACAAUGGGCUAUGUAUUCUUUGUUUGAGUGGGAGCCAUAUCUUCGAAUAGCAAGAGACAACCAAACAUUGCAAGGUCCACAAUAGGGGCGGAAUAUUUGGCAGCAAGUCAUAAAGCAAUGGAGGCAAUUUGAUUGAGGUUGUUAUUGGAAGAUAUUGGACUUGUGCAAUUGGAGGCUACUCCAUUGAGGUGUGAUAAUCAAGGAUGUCUUGAUUUUGGAAAGAAUCCAAAGCAUCAUGCAAGAACUAUGUACAUUGAUAUUCAGCAUCAUUUCAUAAGAGAGAAGAUAGAGAUGGAGGUUAUUGAUAUGAUGUAUUGUGAAACCAAAGACAUGUUGGCUGAUUUGUUGACAAAAGCCUUAGUUAGAGAAGGACACAACAAGUUGAGUCAGGCAUUAGGAUUGAGAGCUAAUUGACCAAUAGCAAAGUGGGAGUGUUGAGAAAAGAACUCUUUAAGUAGUUGCUAAUGGUCAAUAGAGUACAAGUGUUGUUAAGGAUAUCCCAUAAGGUAGGGUGCUGGUCUAUAGUGCAUUAGAGUACAAGGGGAGGGCUGGUCCUAGGAGAUAUCCCAUAUGGAUUGUAGCACUUGGUACCUUGGUACUAGUAUAUAAGGAAAGGGUUGGCAUGGGAAGAAUUAUCUCAUACCACAUUCUAUUUGUUAUAGUGCAACCUUGCUGGUCCUAACUUACUUGUGUGGAGUAUGUUUUCUUUGUUUCAAUAGUAAUAUCCUUUACGAGGUAACUUAUUCUACUUUAACUAUUAUCUAUUCAUCUUUAUCUUCUACCUCAACACCAUUUAGACGUAAAUUGGACUCAAAAUAUACAAAAAGUUGCAAAUCAGCGAAUUCUGGAUUUGUAAUUCUGCAAUCUUUAAGUAGUCAUAUCUUUUACAUUACAACUCCAAAUCAAGAGUUUUUUGGACCUACUUGUAGCUUGAAAUGGCUUCUUUUGACGGUGAUAGCUUAAGAGUCGUUGAAAAGUUUGGAGGUGACAUCUUUUACCACUGGACGGCCAAAAUGGAGCUCCUUUUGGCGUCAUUGGAUGUUUAGGAGAUAGUAGAUGAGGAGGAACUUGCACCUGGGGUAGAGGCAAGCAUCAAGGAGCAAAAAGACUUCAAAAGAUGAGAGAACAAGGCUUUUGGCAUAAUUACCACCAAUUUAGAUGAAAGCAACUUUGCUCAUGUCAUUUCUUGCAAAGAGGCAGCAGAUGCAUGGAAGACUCUUUGCAAUGUCUAUGAAAGUAGGAAUCUCUCCAAUGUGCUAUUGUCAAGGCAAAAAUUCUUCACGGUGAAGAUGAAAGAAAGUGAAGAUCUCAUGGCUCAUGUGAAUAAGGUAAAAGCACAUGCAAACAAACUUGCUGUUGUUGACAAGCCUUUACUUGAAGAAGAUGUUGUGAUGACAUUGCUCUCAAGCCUUCCGGACUCCUAUUCCUCCCUCAUUGUAGCAUUGGAGUCCAUUUCAAGGAAAGACCUCAAUUUGGACUAUAUCACGGCAAGAGUAGCCCAUGAAGUUGUUGAGAAAAGAACUCUUUAAGUAGUUGCUAAUGGUCAAUAGAGUACAAGUGUUGUUAAGGACAUCCCAUAAGGUAGGGUACUGGUCUAUAGUACAUUAGAGUACAAGGGGAGGGCUGGUCCUAGGACAUAUCCCAUAAGGAUUGUAGCACUUGGUACCUUGGUACUAGUAUAUAAGGAAAGGGUUGGCAUGGGAACAAUUAUCUCAUACCACACUCUAUUUGUUAUAGUGCAACCUUGCUGGUCCUAACUUACUUGUGUGGAGUAUGCUUUCUAUGUUUCAAUAGGUUAAGGGCCCACAUUCUCUUACCAAGUAAGUUGUUCUUGCAUUUUAUUUUCUUUGUUGCUUGUUUGGUGGUUGAGAUCUUAUGGUAUAGUAUUACUAGUGUUUUGUUGAAGUCAUUACUCCUGGAUUUGUGAGUGUAUGAGGUUAGUGCAAGACCUUGAUAGUGUCUUUGCUGAAGUAACACUACUAUUUGAGAGUUUUAUGAGAAAUUGAGUCAUUUUGAGUGAGGUGAUGUGAGGGAGAUGUUUGAAAGCCAUAGAAUUACAUGUCAUAGCAUUUCCCACAAUUUAGAAAAGUAUGCAAAAAGUUGCAAAACAGAGAAUUCUGAGUUUGUAGUUCAGCAAUCUUUGAGUAGUCAUAUCUUUUGCAUUACAACUCCAAAUCAAGAGAUUUUUGGACCUACUUGUAGCUUGAGAUGGCAUCUUUUGAGAGUGAUAGCUUAAGAAUGGUAGAAAAGUUUAGAGGUGACAACUUUCACCAAUGGAAGGCCAAAAUGGAACUACUUUUGGCGUCAUUGGAUCUUUGGGAGAUAGUAUGUGAGGAGGAAGAGGCACCUGGAUUAGAGGCGAGCAUGAAGGAGCAAAAGGACUUCAAAAGACGAGAAAAGAAGGCUUUUGGCAUAAUUGCCACCAACUUAGAUGAAACCAUCUUUGCUCAUGUCAUUUCUUGCAAAGGGGCAGCAGAUGCAUGGAAGACUCUUUGCAAUGUCUAUGAGAGUAGGAAUCUUUCCAAUGUGCUAUGGUCAAGGCAAAAAUUCUUCACCGUGAAGAUGGAAGAAGGUGAAGAUCUCAUGGCUCAUGUAAAUAAGGUAAAAGCACUUGCAAACCAACUUGCUGUUGUUGACAAGCCUUUACUUGAAGAAGAUGUUGUGAUGAUAUUGCUCUCAAGCCUUCCGGACUCCUAUUCCUCCCUCAUUGUGGCAUUGGAGUCCAUUUCAAAGAAAGACCUCACUUUGGACUAUGUCACGGCAAGAGUAGCCCAUGAAGUCACCAAAAGAAAGCAAAAGGAGUCUAUUGGGGAGCAAUCAGCACUAUUUACAAGACCAAGUAAGGCAAGUGCCCCUUUUCAACGUUAUCCUCCUAAAACUUGUUACAUUUGUGGAAAACCAGGCCAUUUUGCUAGAAAUUGUUUCAAGGCAAAGAGAGGAGAAAGAGAGAAUGCCAACAAUGCUUUUCAUGAUCAUGGAGGUGAAGACUUUGCAUUCAUGGCAAAACAAACUCCUUCCAUGUUUGAUAUGAGAAAAUGGAUUGUGGAUUCUGGAUGUACCAAACACAUGACUCCAUACAAGUGUUCAUUUAACACUUAUCAACCAAUUCAAGCAACCAAGGUUUGGUUAGGUGAUAAUUGUAUGGUACAAGCCAUUGGAAUAGGUAGCAUUAUAGUGGAGGUGGUGGUGAAGGCCAUAAGCAAGAGAAUCACUCUCAAGGAUGUGUUGCAUGUGCCAAAGAUGAAGAAGAACCUCCUUUCGGUGAGUAAACUUAUAACUCAUGGGUACAAAGUGCAAUUUAACAUGAAUGGAUGUUUUGUGAGAACCAUAGAAGGCAAAGAAGUAGCAAAAGGGACUAGGAAUGGCAAUCUCUAUAUUAUCAAUUGCAAGAGGAUCAAUGGAGUGGAGGUUGCUGCCUUUGCUGAAUUUCCAUCAAAUGAAGAGAAGAUGGGCAUUUUGCAUCAAAGACUUGGGCAUUUGAAUGCCAAAAGCAUGAAGGGGCUUCAAUCCAAGGUAAAUGGCAUAGACCUUGGCCAUUCUACCAUGAAUCUUGCUUGUGAGGGAUGCAUUCAAGGCAAACAACAUAGGACACCAUUUCCUAGAGGAGAUUCAACAAGAGCAAAUCAAUUGCUGGAGCUUGUGCAUUCGGAUGUUUGUGGAUCCAUGAGGACACCAUCUAUGAGUGGUAGUGAAAAGUGGGAGAUGUGUCCAAGUGGGAGUAGUGGUGUGUUUGUGGACACAUCUUCAAUUCCAGCAAACAAACAAGAAGAUGAAGAAGUGUAUUCUCAAAGUGAAGAAAGAGAGGAAGUUGCCAUGAUAGAAGAGCCCAAUACUAUGAAGACUUCAAUUCCAGCAAGAUACAACAAGGACAAUGAAGAGAAUGAAGAUGAAGAAUACCAACAAAUGAGUAAGAGAAAGCACUCCAUGAGUCAUACAAGGCAGCAAGAGGUGCAAGAAGGCUCAUCUUCUUUGCAUGAAAGAAGAUAUCCAACACGUGAGAGAAGACCACAAGGUGAAUGGUGAAAGAACCACAUCUUUCCACAACAAUUGGAUGUAAGUGGGUGCUUAGAACUAAGAGAGAUGCAAACGAUUGAAGGUCAACAAUGGGCUAUGUAUUCUUUGUUUGAGUGGGAGCCAUAUCUUCGAAUAGCAAGAGACAACCAAAUAUUGCAAGGUCCACAAUAGGGGCGGAAUAUUUGGCAGCAAGUCAUAAAGCAAUGGAGGCAAUUUGAUUGAGGUUGUUAUUGGAAGAUAUUGGACUUGUGCAAUUGGAGGCUACUCCAUUGAGGUGUGAUAAUCAAGGAUGUCUUGAUUUUGGAAAGAAUCCAAAGCAUCAUGCAAGAACUAAGUACAUUGAUAUUCAGCAUCAUUUCGUAAGAGAGAAGAUAGAGGUGGAGGUUAUUGAUAUGAUGUAUUGUGAAACCAAAGACAUGUUUGCUGAUUUGUUGACAAAAGCCUUAGUUAGAGAAGGACACAACAAGUUGAGUAAGGCAUUAGGAUUGAUAGCUAAUUGACCAAUAGCAAAGUGGGAGUGUUGAGAAAAGAACUCUUAAAGUAGUUGCUAAUGGUCAAUAGAGUACAAGUGUUGUUAAAGACAUCCCAUAAGGUAGGGUGCUGGUCUGUAGUACAUUAGAGUACAAGGGGAGGGCUGGUCCUAGGAGAUAUCCCAUAUGGAUUGUAGCACUUCGUACCUUGGUACUAGUAUAUAAGGAAAGGGUUGGCAUGGGAAGAAUUAUCUCAUACUACACUCUAUUUGUUAUAGUGCAACCUUGCUGGUCCUAACUUACUUGUGUGGAGUAUGCUUUCUAUGUUUCAAUAGGGCUUUGACAAUUAGCAAAGUGGGAGUGUUGAGGUAAAAGAUAUAGAUGAAUAGAUAAUAGUUAAAGUAGAAUAAGUUACCUCGUAAAGGAUAUUACCUUAGGUAAGUUGCUAAUAGUCAAAGGCUUGACUCUUGGCAUAUAGAAAAAACAUCCUAUGGACAUAGGAUGCGAUCAAAGACAAAGAGUCAAAGUCAAGAGGAUAAAGUGUGUCCUAGUGAAUAUCCAAAGAGGUGAUGUGAGNNNNNNNNNNNNNNNNNNNNNNNNNNNNNNNNNNNNNNNNNNNNNNNNNNNNNNNNNNNNNNNNNNNNNNNNNNNNNNNNNNNNNNNNNNNNNNNNNNNNUUGGACUCAAAGUAUGCAAAAAGUUGCAAAACAGAGAAUUCUGAGUUUGUAGUUCAGCAAUCUUUGAGUAGUCAUAUCUUUUGCAUUACAACUCCAAAUCAAGAGAUUUUUGGACCUACUUGUAGCUUGAGAUGGCAUCUUUUGAGAGUGAUAGCUUAAGAAUGGUAGAAAAGUUUAGAGGUGACAACUUUCACCACUGAAAGGCCAAAAUGGAGCUGCUUUUGGCGUCAUUGGAUCUUUGGGAGAUAGUAUGUGAGGAGGAAGAGGCACCUGGAUUAGAGGCAAGCAUGAAGGAGCAAAAGGAAUUCAAAAGACGAGAAAAGAAGGCUUUUGGCAUAAUUGCCACCAAUUUAGAUGAAACCAACUUUGUUCAUGUCAUUUCUUUCAAAGGGGCAGCAGAUGUUGAAGGAAAGAACUCAUUUAGUUGUUGCUAAUGGUCAAUAGAGUAUAUGAGUAAUGAGGGAUAUCCUACAAGGUAAGUUGCUGGUCUAUAGAGCCUUAGAAUACAAGGAGAGGCUGGUCCUAAGAAAUAUCCCAUAUGGGUUGUAACACAUGGUACCUUCGUACUAGUAUAUAAGAAAAGGGUUGGCAUGGGAAGAAUUAUCUCAUACCACAUUCUAUUUGUGAAGUGCAACCUUGCUGGUCCUAACUUGCUUGUGUGGAGUUUGCUUUCUAUGUUUCAAUAGGUUAUGGGCCCACACUCUCUUACCAAGUAAGUUGUUCUUGCAUUAUUUCUUUGUU